RNAcentral lists this ribosomal RNA (223 nucleotides) under uncultured bacterium. RNAcentral describes it as "partial 16S ribosomal RNA". It matches the Rfam family "Bacterial small subunit ribosomal RNA", at positions 28 to 250 of the family's 1533-position model. The record is from RNAcentral.
GACGAACGCUGGCGGCGUGCUUAACACAUGCAAGUCGAGCGGUAAGGCCCUUUCGGGGGUACGACGAGCGGCGAACGGGUGGAGUAACACGUGGGUGACCUGCCCUCAGCUCUGGGAUAAGCCUGGGAAACCGGGUCUAAUACUGGAUAUGACUCCAUGACGCAUGUUGUGGGGUGGAAAGCCUUGUGCGGCUGAGGAUGGGCCCGCGGCCUAUCAGCUUGUU